RNAcentral lists this ribosomal RNA (253 nucleotides) under uncultured bacterium. RNAcentral's name for it is "partial 16S ribosomal RNA". It matches the Rfam family "Bacterial small subunit ribosomal RNA", at positions 524 to 776 of the family's 1533-position model. The record is from RNAcentral.
UACGGAGGGUGCAAGCGUUAAUCGGAAUUACUGGGCGUAAAGCGUGCGCAGGCGGUUUGUUAAGUCCGUUGUGAAAGCCCCGAGCUCAACUUGGGAAUUGCAGUGGAUACUGGCAGGCUGGAGUACGGUAGAGGAAGGUGGAAUUCCCGGUGUAGCAGUGAAAUGCGUAGAUAUCGGGAGGAACACCGAUGGCGAAGGCAGCUCGCUGGGACGGUACUGACGCUGAGGCGCGAAAGCGUGGGGAGCAAACAGG